RNAcentral lists this long non-coding RNA (465 nucleotides) under Brassica napus (rape). Its description in RNAcentral is "long non-coding RNA (BNAP_LNC017622)". Lineage: Eukaryota; Viridiplantae; Streptophyta; Magnoliopsida; Brassicales; Brassicaceae. The record is from RNAcentral.
AACCAAUUCCUCACGCCAAAAUUCUACAUCAUUAUUACCAUAUCCCCUGUGAUUGGUUUUGAUCAUUACUAACCAAUAAUCAAUCAACGAACCAAAAAUCUGUGGAUUCCCUAUUACUAUCAGUAAUCAUAUCCAUAGUUUCCAAUCAUCAGAAUGAAUUGGAGAAAUCAUAUUUUCUCUCAACUCUAUUUCAAAUGGAAAAUAUUUUGUUUUGAUGUAAACAAAGAUCAUACCUCUAUUUUCCUGAGAUAUCGUCUUAAUGAUGACUGAUAUCCAGAUCGGAAUCGAACGCCAUAAUCCUAGUACUUGGAUCUGUCAAUUCCAUUCUUCCCUUUGUGAGGGAGUAGCCUUCGCGAUUCCGAAAAAUAUCCCCUUGCCAAAUCUCCCUGAUUUUUUCAUAUUUCUCUGAAAUAAUCCCUCAUUUGAAGACCAACCCGAUUCUUUAUCUCCCCAUGGAUCCCUCCC